RNAcentral lists this ribosomal RNA (527 nucleotides) under uncultured bacterium. Its description in RNAcentral is "partial 16S ribosomal RNA". It matches the Rfam family "Bacterial small subunit ribosomal RNA", at positions 355 to 874 of the family's 1533-position model. The record is from RNAcentral.
UGGGGAAUUUUGGACAAUGGGCGAAAGCCUGAUCCAGCAAUGCCGCGUGUGUGAAGAAGGCCUUCGGGUUGUAAAGCACUUUUGUCCGGAAAGAAAUCCUUGGCUCUAAUACAGUCGGGGGAUGACGGUACCGGAAGAAUAAGCACCGGCUAACUACGUGCCAGCAGCCGCGGUAAUACGUAGGGUGCAAGCGUUAAUCGGAAUUACUGGGCGUAAAGCGUGCGCAGGCGGUUUGCUAAGACCGAUGUGAAAUCCCCGGGCUCAGCCUGGGAACUGCAUUGGUGACUGGCAGGCUAGAGUAUGGCAGAGGGGGGUUAGAAUUCCACGUGUAGCAGUGAAAUGCGUAGAGAUGUGGAGGAAUACCGAUGGCGAAGGCAGCCCCCUGGGCCAAUACUGACGCUCAUGCACGAAAGCGUGGGGAGCAAACAGGAUUAGAUACCCUGGUAGUCCACGCCCUAAACGAUGUCAACUAGUUGUUGGGGAUUCAUUUCCUUAGUAACGUAGCUAACGCGUGAAGUUGACCGCCU